GAGUUUGAUCCUGGCUCAGAACGAACGCUGGCGGCGUGGAUAAGACAUGCAAGUCGAACGAGAGAAUUGCUAGCUUGCUAAUAAUUCUCUAGUGGCGCACGGGUGAGUAACACGUGAGUAACCUGCCCCCGAGAGCGGGAUAGCCCUGGGAAACUGGGAUUAAUACCGCAUAGUAUCGAAAGAUUAAAGCAGCAAUGCGCUUGGGGAUGGGCUCGCGGCCUAUUAGUUAGUUGGUGAGGUAACGGCUCACCAAGGCGAUGACGGGUAGCCGGUCUGAGAGGAUGUCCGGCCACACUGGAACUGAGACACGGUCCAGACACCUACGGGUGGCAGCAGUCGAGAAUCAUUCACAAUGGGGGAAACCCUGAUGGUGCGACGCCGCGUGGGGGAAUGAAGGUCUUCGGAUUGUAAACCCCUGUCAUGUGGGAGCAAAUUAAAAAGAUAGUACCACAAGAGGAAGAGACGGCUAACUCUGUGCCAGCAGCCG
This 487-nucleotide ribosomal RNA is filed under the name uncultured bacterium. RNAcentral's name for it is "bacterial SSU rRNA". It matches the Rfam family "Bacterial small subunit ribosomal RNA", at positions 9 to 517 of the family's 1533-position model. The record is from RNAcentral.